GAUGAACGCUGGCGGCGUGCUUAACACAUGCAAGUCGAACGAGAAGUGAAGACGGAAACCUUCGGGCGGAAGGCUUUAUUUCGAGUGGCGGACGGGUGAGUAACGCGUGGGUAACCUGCCUCAUACAGGGGGAUAACAGUUGGAAACGACUGUUAAUACCGCAUAAGACCACAGCACCGCAUGGUGCGGGGGUAAAAACUCCGGUGGUAUGAGAUGGACCCGCGUUCGAUUAGCCAGUUGGCGGGGUAACGGCCCACCAAAGCGACGAUCGAUAGCCGAUCUGAGAGGAUGUCCGGCCACAUUGGGACUGAGACACGGCCCAAACUCCUACGGGAGGCAGCAGUGGGGAAUAUUGCACAAUGGGGGAAACCCUGAUGCAGCGACGCCGCGUGAGUGAAGAAGUAUUUCGGUAUGUAAAGCUCUAUCAGCAGGGAAGAAAAUGACGGUACCUGAGUAAGAAGCCCCGGCUAACUACGUG
This 478-nucleotide ribosomal RNA is filed under the name uncultured bacterium. Its description in RNAcentral is "partial 16S ribosomal RNA". It matches the Rfam family "Bacterial small subunit ribosomal RNA", at positions 28 to 507 of the family's 1533-position model. The record is from RNAcentral.